Spinacia oleracea (spinach) is the source of this 278-nucleotide long non-coding RNA. RefSeq lists it as uncharacterized. The record is from RefSeq and is a predicted model, not a curated record. The transcript is spliced from 2 exons. NCBI's taxonomy places the organism in Eukaryota, Viridiplantae, Streptophyta, Magnoliopsida, Caryophyllales, Amaranthaceae.
CCUUCGGUUUCAUCUCCGGCUCGGAUAGAUAUCACUUUAUCUAGGAACCGGGUAUUUCCCGCUUUUUUCUCUAUUUCUUCCUUUUUCUUCUUUUAUAUUCGUUGACCCUUGGUCUCCCCUUUUUAGGAUCAACGCAAAAGGAAGGGUAGCACUCUUUUGAGGCCGUCCACGCAUCCGAAGAAAGCGAAGGCUUCUCAGCCCUCGGAGAAGGAAGCGGUUUCGGAAGUCAUGCCUCCUCCUAAGAAUCUUCUUCACUUCAUGCCCUUGCCAGGGCAGAA